This 253-nucleotide ribosomal RNA is filed under the name uncultured bacterium. RNAcentral describes it as "partial 16S ribosomal RNA". It matches the Rfam family "Bacterial small subunit ribosomal RNA", at positions 524 to 776 of the family's 1533-position model. The record is from RNAcentral.
GACGUAGGGCGCGAGCGUUGUCCGGAUUUAUUGGGCGUAAAGAGCUCGUAGGCGGCUUGUCGCGUCGUCCGUGAAAACCCACAGCUCAACUGUGGGCUUGCGGUCGAUACGGGCAGGCUGGAGUUCGGUAGGGGAGACUGGAAUUCCUGGUGUAGCGGUGAAAUGCGCAGAUAUCAGGAAGAACACCCGUGGCGAAGGCGGCUCUCUGGUACGUGACUGACGCUGAGACGCGAAAGCGUGGGGAGCGAACAGG